GACGAACGCUGGCGGCGUGCUUAACACAUGCAAGUCGAACGGGCCCGCCCCUGUUUUUAGGGGUGGGUUGAGUGGCGAACGGGUGAGUAUCACGUGAGUAACCUGCCCCCUGCUCCUGGAUAACUGCUUGAAAGGGCGGCUAAUACGGGGUGUGCCGGCUGCUCCGCAUGGGCCUGGUCGGGAUAGUUUCAUCUUCGGGUGUUGUGGUGGGGGAUGGGCUCGCGGCCUAUCAGCUUGUUGGUGGGGUAGUGGCCCACCAAGGCGUGGCAGGGUAGCCGGCGUGGGAGGGGGACGGGCCACAGUGGGACUGAGGUAAGGCGCAGAGGCCUAGGGGAGGGAGCGGGGGGGAAGGGUGCACAAGGGGGGGAAGGCUGAUGCAGCAACGCCGCGGGCGGGAGGAAGGCGUUCGGGUUGUAAAGCGGUUGCGCCGGGGAAGAAGGGUGAGUGACGGGAAGGGGUAAAGAAGAAAAGGCUAACUACGUG
RNAcentral lists this ribosomal RNA (483 nucleotides) under uncultured bacterium. Its description in RNAcentral is "partial 16S ribosomal RNA". It matches the Rfam family "Bacterial small subunit ribosomal RNA", at positions 28 to 507 of the family's 1533-position model. The record is from RNAcentral.